GUGGGGAAUCUUGCGCAAUGGGCGAAAGCCUGACGCAGCCAUGCCGCGUGAAUGAUGAAGGUCUUAGGAUUGUAAAAUUCUUUCACCGGGGACGAUAAUGACGGUACCCGGAGAAGAAGCUCCGGCUAACUUCGUGCCAGCAGCCGCGGUAAUACGAAGGGGGCUAGCGUUGCUCGGAAUUACUGGGCGUAAAGGGCGCGUAGGCGGACAGCUUAGUCAGAGGUGAAAGCCCAGGGCUCAACCUUGGAAUUGCCUUUGAUACUGGCUGUCUUGAGUUUGGGAGAGGUGAGUGGAACUCCGAGUGUAGAGGUGAAAUUCGUAGAUAUUCGGAAGAACACCAGUGGCGAAGGCGACUCACUGGCCCAAUAAUGACGCUGAGGCGCGAAAGCGUGGGGAGCAAACAGGAUUAGAAACCCUUGUAGUCC
RNAcentral lists this ribosomal RNA (425 nucleotides) under uncultured bacterium. RNAcentral describes it as "partial 16S ribosomal RNA". It matches the Rfam family "Bacterial small subunit ribosomal RNA", at positions 354 to 796 of the family's 1533-position model. The record is from RNAcentral.